CGCGCAGGCGGCCUUUCAAGUCAGGCGUGAAAGCCCCGGGCUUAACCUGGGAAUUGCGCUUGGGACUGGAGGGCUGGAGUUCGGGAGAGGAGAGUGGAAUUCCCAGUGUAGAGGUGAAAUUCGUAGAUAUUGGGAAGAACACCGGUGGCGAAGGCGGCUCUCUGGACCGAUACUGACGCUGAGGCGCGAAAGCGUGGGGAGCAAACAGGAUUAGAUACCCUGGUAGUCCACGCUGUAAACGAUGUGCGCUAGACGUUGGAGGGCGUAGCCUUCCGGUGUCGCAGCUAACGCUUUAAGCGCACCGCCUGGGGAGUACGGCCGCAAGGUUAAA
Molecule: ribosomal RNA, 331 nt
Filed under: uncultured bacterium
Lineage: Bacteria
Description: bacterial SSU rRNA
Rfam family: Bacterial small subunit ribosomal RNA
Source: RNAcentral